RNAcentral lists this ribosomal RNA (253 nucleotides) under uncultured bacterium. Its description in RNAcentral is "partial 16S ribosomal RNA". It matches the Rfam family "Bacterial small subunit ribosomal RNA", at positions 524 to 776 of the family's 1533-position model. The record is from RNAcentral.
GACGAGCCACACGAACGUUAUUCGGAAUUACUGGGCUUAAAGGGUGCGUAGGCUGCGCGGAAUGUUGGGUGUGAAAUCCCUCGGCUCAACCGAGGAACUGCGCCCAAAACUGCCGUGCUCGAGGAAGAUAGAGGUAAGCGGAACUUACGGUGGAGCGGUGAAAUGCGUUGAUAUCGUAAGGAACACCUGUGGCGAAAGCGGCUUACUGGGUCUUUUCUGACGCUGAUGCACGAAAGCUAGGGGAGCAAACGGG